Molecule: ribosomal RNA, 253 nt
Filed under: uncultured bacterium
Lineage: Bacteria
Description: partial 16S ribosomal RNA
Rfam family: Bacterial small subunit ribosomal RNA
Source: RNAcentral
UACGAGGGGGGCAAGCGUUGUUCGGAAUUACUGGGCGUAAAGCGCACGUAGGCGGCUUUGCAAGUCAGAGGUGAAAGCCCGGGGCUCAACCCCGGAAUAGCCUUUGAGACUGCAUCGCUUGAACAUCGGAGAGGUAAGUGGAAUUCCGAGUGUAGAGGUGAAAUUCGUAGAUAUUCGGAAGAACACCAGUGGCGAAGGCGACUUACUGGACGAUUGUUGACGCUGAGGUGCGAAAGCGUGGGGAGCAAACAGG